Molecule: long non-coding RNA, 369 nt
Organism: Puntigrus tetrazona (Sumatra barb)
Lineage: Eukaryota; Metazoa; Chordata; Actinopteri; Cypriniformes; Cyprinidae
Exons: 2
Source: RefSeq, a predicted model, not a curated record
UUUGACGUCAAGGAAUGUAAAAGGGUUUGUUCAAUGCAUAAAUAUUGUUUUGAAUUCAAAUAAUGAAAAAUAUAAUCAUGUGUCUAUUGUUUAUAAGCGAUUUAUCAAGAAAUCGAAGACCAAGUUUUUUUCAGUGGAAAGUUACCAUGAAUGGACCCGUGCCAACAUCAACUACAGACUAGAGUGUGUGUGUGUUUCUGUUGACAUGCAGUGCUAUUCUGUUUAUCAUAUAGCUAGUUGUAAAGCCCAAUACCUCAAUCUACUGCCUGUUCUGUUUUAAUUGGAGACAAUGUGACCUGAUAUCAGAAGAGGUGUAUUGUUGCUCAUUAAAGAAUCCAAAAGUAUCAAAGAACCUGAAGACUCCACAAA